GUACCAGACUCCUACGGGAGGCAGCAGUGGGGGAUAUUGCACAAUGGGGGAAACCCUGAUGCAGCGACGCCGCGUGAGUGAAGAAGUAUUUCGGUAUGUAAAGCUCUAUCAGCAGGGAAGAAAAUGACAGUACCUGACCAAGAAGCCCCGGCUAGCUACGUGCCAGCAGCCGCGGUAAUACGUAGGGGGCAAGCGUUAUCCGGAUUUACUGGGUGUAAAGGGAGCGUAGACGGUUAUGUAAGUCUGGAGUGAAAGCCCGGGGCCCAACCCCGGGACUGCUCUGGAAACUGCCUGGCUGGAGUACAGGAGAGGUAAGUGGAAUUCCUAGUGUAGCGGUGAAAUGCGUAGAUAUUAGGAGGAACACCAGUGGCGAAGGCGGCUUACUGGACUGUAACUGACGUUGAGGCUCGAAAGCGUGGGGAGCAAACAGGAUUAGAUACCCGAGUACA
RNAcentral lists this ribosomal RNA (449 nucleotides) under uncultured bacterium. RNAcentral's name for it is "bacterial SSU rRNA". It matches the Rfam family "Bacterial small subunit ribosomal RNA", at positions 328 to 797 of the family's 1533-position model. The record is from RNAcentral.